Molecule: ribosomal RNA, 301 nt
Filed under: uncultured bacterium
Lineage: Bacteria
Description: partial 16S ribosomal RNA
Rfam family: Bacterial small subunit ribosomal RNA
Source: RNAcentral
CAGCAGCCGCGGUAAUACGGAGGGGGCUAGCGUUGUUCGGAAUUACUGGGCGUAAAGCGCACGUAGGCGGCUUUGUAAGUUAGAGGUGAAAGCCUGGGGCUCAACUCCAGAAUUGCCUUUAAGACUGCAUCGCUUGAACGUCGGAGAGGUGAGUGGAAUUCCGAGUGUAGAGGUGAAAUUCGUAGAUAUUCGGAAGAACACCAGUGGCGAAGGCGGCUUACUGGCUCAUUCUAGACGCUGAGGUGCGAAAGCGUGGGGAGCAAACAGGAUUAGAUACCCCUGUAGUCCCUGUCUCUUAUAC